RNAcentral lists this ribosomal RNA (229 nucleotides) under uncultured bacterium. RNAcentral describes it as "partial 16S ribosomal RNA". It matches the Rfam family "Bacterial small subunit ribosomal RNA", at positions 568 to 796 of the family's 1533-position model. The record is from RNAcentral.
CGCGUAGGCGGUUUGGCAAGUCUGAUGUGAAAUGUACCGGUUCAACCGGGGCGCUGUAUCAGAAACUGCCUUACUUGAGGUCGAGGGAGGAGAGUGGGAUUCCUGGUGUAGCGGUGAAAUGCGUAGAUAUCAGGAGGAACACCCGUGGCGAAGGCGACUCUCUAUCUCGAUUCUGACGCUGAGGCGCGAAAGCUAGGGGAGCAAACAGGAUUAGAUACCCUGGUAGUCC